This 254-nucleotide ribosomal RNA is filed under the name uncultured prokaryote. RNAcentral's name for it is "partial 16S ribosomal RNA". It matches the Rfam family "Archaeal small subunit ribosomal RNA", at positions 474 to 728 of the family's 1478-position model. The record is from RNAcentral.
UACCAGCACCCCGAGUGGUCGGGACGAUUAUUGGGCCUAAAGCAUCCGUAGCCGGUCUUGCAAGUCUUCCGUUAAAUCCACCUGCUUAACAGAUGGGCUGCGGAGGAUACUAUAAGGCUAGGAGGCGGGAGAGGCAAGCGGUACUCAGUGGGUAGGGGUAAAAUCCUCUGAUCCAUUGAAGACCACCAGUGGCGAAGGCGGCUUGCCAGAACGCGCUCGACGGUGAGGGAUGAAAGCUGGGGGAGCAAACCGGA